AAUUUUAAGACUCAGCUCAUAGGAUGUGUAAUAGAAUACAUAAGAAUUUUUUCAGUUGGUUGAGAAUUCUCCAGUUAGGUAAGAACAGGCAAGACUCAACAGAAAGCCUGACCAAGUGACCUUUUCCAGCAGGUACCAAAGCUAUGUCAUUUGGACAAGCUACGAGCCACUCUGUGCCCUGCUCUCAUCACCUUCAAAUCAGAAGGCAAGUGACCCUUCUGCCCAGGACCUGGUGUUUGAGGGAGAAAUGCUAAGCGAGACUAAGAUGAGCAGAAUGGAAAUCACGUGUGUCGAGAGCCCGGCCGGCGUACAGCGGGUGCCCCACGAGUCACGGCAUUCAGGAAUCAGUCAACGCUGCAGUCUGGCUACGUCAGAGGAUUUGCUGAGCCAAGAAGAGAUGACUCGAGCCUUCGCAGCCCUGCUUGAUUUUGACCCAGGAAAAGUUGGCUUGAAAUGUCUAGCGUUCGCACUCUGUCUGGGGUGACUUGGGUCUUAAGCUUCACUUUCCUGGGCCAGGAAAGAGCAAGCCAUUAGGAGUUUAUGUAUUUUUCUUCUUUCGUGAAGUUAAAGGCGAUACUAAAAAAGACUCACUUUAAAGGGGAGAAGCACUGUGUCUUGAACGUGUAAUGUCCCUCAGCCCGUGUGUGUGAACUCUUAGUUCCCAGUGGGUCACUGGGGAGUGGUCUUGAGAGUUCUCUAUCCCACCUGCUUUCUGUUACUGGCUGCAGAUACAAUGGAACCAGUCCCUCAAGCUUCUGCCGCCAUGCCCUCCCUGCCUUCAUGUGUCCCCUCAAACUGUAAGCCAAGAUAAACCCUUCCUUCUGCCUCAACCUCCUGUGUGGCCCUAAUUAUGUCUGCACCAGGCCCAACAGGACUCUGUUUCUAGUAGAGGGUGCUGGGCACAAAGUAGUUAACAAGUAAUGGUCCUGAAUUUCUGUUUCCGGGACGUAGAUGUCAUCUCUUUAAAUAUUAGGUGUCAAGGGGCCAUGUGUCUGCCCAGUAGAACCAUCUGUUGUCAGGAAAUUAUCCUUCCUGUCAGUGAAGAGCAACAGAUAUCCUCCCAGCGUUAGCCCAGGGAGAGACU
Molecule: long non-coding RNA, 1084 nt
Organism: Mesocricetus auratus (golden hamster)
Lineage: Eukaryota; Metazoa; Chordata; Mammalia; Rodentia; Cricetidae
Exons: 3
Source: RefSeq, a predicted model, not a curated record